Long non-coding RNA from Papaver somniferum (opium poppy), 673 nucleotides. RefSeq lists it as uncharacterized. NCBI's taxonomy places the organism in Eukaryota, Viridiplantae, Streptophyta, Magnoliopsida, Ranunculales, Papaveraceae. The record is from RefSeq and is a predicted model, not a curated record. The transcript has 3 exons.
GCCAUCAUUUCGACGCAGCUUCUUUUUUCUGAUGUUGUUUUGCUUUGCAGGUAUUCUAAAUCGAUUGGCGCUAUAAAUGUUUUUUCAAUCGGAUUACUAAUAGCAUGACGACAUUAAGAAAUUGCUCUGCGAUAUUCCAUUGUUGAAUCAAAACAAAAACACCAGAAGUCCCCAAAUCGACCAUUAAAUCCCGGGAACCAGAAGUUAAGCAUCAUCAAAUGUGCAAGACUCUUCUUAAUAAGUCCUCCAGUGAGGACAGUAUAAUACAAGCAUCGAGUGGUUAAAUUUCUUCUUCAUACAUGCUCCAGUGAUCAGUAAGGACAAUAUAACCAAAGAACAGUAGAAGAAAUAUAGAGAUUUUGAAUGAUUCAAGGUUUUACCGUUGGUUGGCAGUGCGAUGUUUUGUGAUAGUAGACUUUUGAAGAAUUGUUCAUGCAGUACGAUCUUGGUUAUGUUUUUUUUUCUCUCCCACUCUUUCUCUACGCUUUUUCAAAUUUUGGUUUGAAUUUUUGAUGUUUUACUUCUUAGGGUUUCCAUUUAUAGAUAUGAACGUUGUAUGAUCAUGAGAUGAGGGAUAAUUUUGGUUUUUUCUGGAUGUGAAGUUACGAGCGUCUUUAGCAUCGCCUAGAUGAAAAUGUAAGCAUAACAAACCUUCAUUCUGUUGAUGAUAAGU